RNAcentral lists this ribosomal RNA (426 nucleotides) under uncultured prokaryote. Its description in RNAcentral is "bacterial SSU rRNA". It matches the Rfam family "Bacterial small subunit ribosomal RNA", at positions 355 to 796 of the family's 1533-position model. The record is from RNAcentral.
CAAGGAAUCUUCCGCAAUGGGCGAAAGCCUGACGGAGCAACGCCGCGUGUGGGAUGACGCCUUUCGGGGUGUAAACCACUUUUCUCAGGGAAGAAGCACUGACGGUACCUGAGGAAGAAGGACCGGCUAACUACGUGCCAGCAGCCGCGGUAAUACGUAGGGUCCGAGCGUUGUCCGGAGUUACUGGGCGUAAAGCGCGCGCAGGCGGCGGUGUAAGCAUGGCGUGAAAGCCCCAGGCUCAACCUGGGAGGGUCGUCGUGGACUGCACCGCUUGAGGGCGGUAGGGGCUGGUGGAAUGCCUGGUGUAGUGGUGAAAUGCGUAGAGAUCAGGCGGAACACCCGUGGCGAAGGCGGCCAGCUGGGCCGUCCCUGACGCUGAGGCGCGAAGGCGUGGGGAGCGAACGGGAUUAGAUACCCGCGUAGUCC